AACCGUAAGUUUUAUUAGGGAUCAGUUACCUCAUCCCUCUCCUUCCGAUCAUACACACACGUACGUAAACUUUAUUAACGUGUCAAACUUCUAGCAUGCCACAAGUAGCACACUAGUUCGGGACACUUACCGAGAAUAAAUUAAGUAAAUAAGUUAAAAAUUAUGUUAGCUAAUAAUUAAUAAUAAAAUAUUAUAUGGACAAAUAAUUUAAAAGUAGUAAUAUAUGUGUAGACGUAUACAAAAAAAAUGAACUUAAAUAUUGAACUAUAAUGUAUAUAGUAUAAUGUAAAAGACAUGUAAAGACACGAUCCUGGAUGGAUAUCUGAUAUUGGGUUUCCUGUGGCUUGACCACAUCACAUGAGGCACGUGAUCGGUCAUGUUGUGUCACUCUUGUCGUUACUCUUGUUGUUGCUAGUUCGCUUUUUUUUUUUUUUUUGAGCCAUAUUAAAGACAAAUACAACCCCAGAAUGGCGAAAGAGCUUGACUUACACGUCCAUGUGUGUAUGUAUUCUCCAAAUGACAAAAAUACCGUGGAAAAAAGCCUCUUAUUGAAGGAAAAUACGAGUUGCAAGUGGUCGAUUAUAGUACUGCAGCUUGAACAACGGCUCUCUCUCACAAGUGGUUCACAAUGGGCCUUUCAAUACUUUGAUGAUGAAGGAGACGUAAUUUUUGGAAAGACAGAGGAAGAGUGGAAAGAAGCUAUCAAUGUUAGUUGUGAGGUACAUGGUGGUCGUAACACUCUACAUAUAAGUGCCUUUCCUAUGAAGUCAUGCAGUGAAAAGAAAGACGUGGAGGGAAAUAAUAAAGCUGGCUGUUGUACAAAGACCUGUGCAGCAGACUUCUGCCGACCAAUACCUCCACUCCCCCCUCAGUAUGAUAGCAUUCCAAACAAAGUAACAAAUUUGAGGCAGAGUGAAUACAAGUAUGGAAAUGAGGCUCUUAGGGCAGUAGAGCUUCCACUUGGUGCACUAGGUGGAGGGUGUAUUGCCCUAGCAGGUGAUGGAGGACUGCGGCAGUGGCAGGUCUGUAAUGCUGUCAAUCAUGUUGGUAUUGCACCAGACUCUUUCUUUGCCAUCAGGGUUGACCAGGGGGGUGCAAGCAAAGCUGUGGCCCUCCAAUCAAACACUUGGUAUGACCAAACAGGUUUUGUACCAUCGGCUUACAUCACUGAUCAUGUGGUCCCUGAGGCUUCCAAGAAGCUGUUGAGUGAAAUACCAGGAAUAAAAACCUUGGAGAUUACAGCCAAAUAUCCUAUAGCUGAAGUUGAUUAUCUCAGCUCAGAGGUGCCUAUCAAAGUUCACCUUGAGGCUUUCAGUCCUACUAUUCCCUUGGACUCGAAAAACAGUGCCAUUCCUGUCAUCGUAUUCAACUUCACUGUUACCAACGAAGGGUCACAAGAUGCUAAGGUAUCUCUUUUGGGUUCUUUACAAAAUAUUGCUGGGUGGGAUGGAGUGUCGGACAUCACUGAUGAAGUGUCCAAUGCUGGUUAUGGGGGGAACGUGAACACUUUGUUUCAAACCAGUUCAAUGUAUGGCAUUGACAUGUGCAACCCUACAUUACCAGAGAAGACAAGUCCUAAUGGUCACGUGGCUAUAGUCGUUAUGACCAAAGAUGGAGACAAACUCAGUACUGACUUACAGUACACAGCAGUAGUAGAUAUGUGGAAACAGUUUGUUGGUGAUGGCCUCUCUGGACAAACACAAGCCGGGCCCUCUCCAGCUGGCAAGACUUGGAAUGGCGCCACUUCUUGCACAAGAACUGUCCCAGCUAAAAAUACUGAGGUGUUCACCUUUUUCUUGUCCUGGUUCUUUCCUCAUAGAUACGUCGACUGGCCCCAGCCAGGGGGAAUCAACGACCCAAACAGCGCUUUCUAUAUUGGUAAUCAGUACAGUAAAUUCUGGAAAGAUAUUAAAGAGGUGCUGAUAUACACUAAAGAAAAUUUUGAUUAUCUGACGUCAAAAACAAGAGAUUUCAGAGACUCCAUGUUUGAUGCUACGUUACCAUGGCAACUAAUUGACAGCGCUGCUGGUCGUGUGUCCGUACUCAAGUCUCCAACGUGUAUGUGGCAUGCUGAUGGCAACUUCUACGCAUUUGAGGGUUGUAAUACCAAAUCAGGAUGUUGUCCCCUGAACUGUACUCAUGUGUGGAACUAUGAAAUGGCUCUAGCAAAGUGUUACCCGGAUGUUGAACGAACAAUGAGAAAAGUUGAUUUUGCUGAGCAGAUGACACCUCAUGACGUCAUUCCAAGCCGUACAGUGGUGCCUCUUCUCCUUCGUCGUAUAUGGACCUUGUGGAACAACUACUCGAUCAAUCCUGAUUCCACGUCCAUCUGUGUUGACGGAGAGAUUGGCACAGUACUCAAGACUUACCGAGAGGUCAAGCAAGGCGCACCACGUGAAUGGUUUGAUACAUACUGGCCGUACGUUAAACGUGUGAUGAAAAGAUGGAUGACUGAACUAGACAACGGCCAAGGUCUGAUUACUGGUCCUCAACCCAACACGUAUGACUGCGCCAUAUAUGGAGUGAACGUGUACAUUGGUGGAUAUUACCUGACUGCCCUGAGAGCUGCCGAAGAGAUGGCAAAACUUCAAGGUGAAAUGGAUCUUGCUACCUCUUAUCAUGAUAGAUUUGAGCUGGGCAGUGCAGAACUCGACAAAAAAUGCUUUAAUGGGAAAUGGUACAUCCAGAUUGUUGACACAGAACAUCCUGUCAAUGAAGUUGCCGACAGUACUUGGGUCGACUGUCUUGUUGGUCAGUGGUGGGCGCAUGCGCUUGGACUAGGUUAUAUUCUAAAAAAGGAGAACAUUAAAAGCACGCUGAUGAACGUGUUUGAAAGAAACCACGUGGACAGCUUUGAUCCAGCCACUCAAAAACCAAGGGCUUUCUUAGAUCAGAGAGACGCGGGAAUGCAGAUUUGUGUUUACCCUGGAUCUCUGCCCACCAGUCCACUGCUCUACCAUUCUGAGGCUGCAUGGUCAGGCUUGGAGUAUGAAUUUGCUGAGCUUUGUCUCUACGAAGGGUUACCAGACAUUGCCCUAAAAGUCUUGACAGACACGAGGAAUAAAUAUGACGGUACUCGUCGCAGUCCAUGGAAUGAGAUCGAGUGCGGUGAUCACUAUUCUCGCCCCAUGGCUUCGUUCUUGUUAUUUGAGAUUGUCUCAGGACAGGAAUGGAGUUUCAACAAAGAAGACCCAUCUUUUGUGAAUUUGCGUUUUGCUCCUCGUAUUUGCCGGACUGAUUUCCGUGGAUUCUUUAUUCUUGGGUCUUGUUGGGGACAGUAUGUACAAAAAGGUGACGAACUACUGAAGAAAGGCACUGUAGAGAUUUCAGUGCGUCAUGGUGAACUUAAACUGUCUGAGCUUCAUGUUCGUUCACGCGCUACCAAAGCUGUGGCUUCUCUUACCGGCACUACUGAUUCACAGCCACUCAACGUGCAAGUAUCUCAGAAUGAUCAGUGGCUGAGUAUGAAAAUUCCCCAGGACUCGCCCUUCAGAAAAAUCAAGACAGGAAACUCGCUUGUCAUUGAAUUAUCAGAUUAAUUUUUCUCAAGCUUUAAAUCAUGCGAGGGAAUCAUGAAGUAGCAUACACUUGUCUUUAUUUUUGGAAGACGUGGUUAACGGAAACUUCAAGAACAAAACGGAUGUGGCUCGUUCAGUGGACAACUCCGUUGAUCCUUGUAACGACUUCUACCAGUACGCGUGCGGUAAAUGGUCGCAGAAUAACCCAACGCAUGAAUCCAAAUCAUCUUGGGACCCAAUUUCACAGAGGGCUUUCCA
RNAcentral lists this unclassified non-coding RNA (3776 nucleotides) under Actinia tenebrosa (Australian red waratah sea anemone). RNAcentral's name for it is "uncharacterized LOC116288218, transcript variant X2". The record is from RNAcentral. Lineage: Eukaryota; Metazoa; Cnidaria; Anthozoa; Actiniaria; Actiniidae.